This 2441-nucleotide long non-coding RNA is filed under the name Homo sapiens (human). RNAcentral's name for it is "long non-coding RNA NONHSAT135353.2". Lineage: Eukaryota; Metazoa; Chordata; Mammalia; Primates; Hominidae. The record is from RNAcentral.
CCGCGGGCCACGCGACGGGGACCCCAGGGUGCGCGCAGGUGGCGGGGACGCGCGAUGGGGGCCCGGGAAGCUGAGGCUGACCUAGCGCAGGCAUCCCAGGAGGGGAGGUCCCUGACGCUGCGCAGCUGGGAAGGCGUUCGGGAGUGGGUUGCGAUGCUUCCCUGUUUGUUUUCUCCUGACAUCGUUUUUGUUUGGGUCCAGGGGCCUCACGGGAGCUGGAUGCUCGGAGCAGCAAGGCGGCCCUGGGGGCCCCUUCCGGUCCCGGGGCUGACGCCUGGCGGCGUCUCCGGGAACCCGCGCCCUUUCAAGCGCCGCUGGCUCCUGUUUCACAGAUGGAGACCCUGAAGCCCCAACAAGCAGCCUCCCCAGCACCUCCCAGUGACUGAAAAAGCUGGCACUGGGCGCCCGUCUCACUCUCCACCCAGCUCCCAGGCUGCCCCACGGGACCAGCACCUUUGGGGAGAGACGAGACCUGAACAAACGCUGGGGCUGGAUCCCCAGGGUGGGUCAGAACAGCCGUUGCCCUGAAAGCUGGCCCGGACAGAUGCGUGCGGGGCGUGCCACCGGAGCUCCUUCCAGCUUGCGUCUGGGGCCACCAUGUCCCUUCCUCAGGGCACUGGAUCCAUCUCUUCAAGCUCAGUGGUCCAGGCCAUGGUGGCAGAAUCACCCCCCAGGGUGUGACGCCUCGUCCCUGUCAAUUCCACACAGCUGCACCCGGAAGAGCUGUGGCCGGGCGCCGCUCUGACCUGUGUGCGGUCCCCUGAAUGGGUCUCAGGUGUCUUCAGAAUGGUGAGGCCGCCUCAUUUCCUCACCACACAACCCUCCUGAGGACGUUGCCUGCAAAUGGGCGGAAUUCCUAAUUUCUACCAUUCAGUUAAACGAGGGAUCCUUAAGCCCCAAAGCUGGGAAAGCUGUCCGUUAAUUUAGUGCGCGUGGGCCGUCUCAGAACAGCAGGGUUCCCAGGAGUCCAGCGGGACGGGGGAGGGGAUGAGUGGCCGUGUCCCCCUGGCAGAGAAGGCCUUGUCUGAAGGCUACGCCCGCCUCCGGUACAGGGACACCUCCUUGCUCAUCUGGCAGCAGCAACAGCAGAAGUUGGAGUCGGUGCCACCUGGGACGUACCUGAGCAGGAGCCGAAGCAUGUGGUACUCACAGUAUGGAAAUGAGGCCAUCUUGGUCCGAGACAAAAACAAGCUCGAGGUCUCUAGGGACACAGGGCAGUCCAAGUUUUGCACAAUUAUGUAAUUCCGAUGUGAGCACCUGAACCCAGGACCACACUUUGAGGAAAACAGACCUGAGUUUCAUUCAGUUGUCUUGUUGAUUUCCAAUCCUUGCUGGAAGAUUUUGAAUAAUGAACGUGAAGAUCAAACUGUGGUGUAAGAACCCAAGAAGCGCAGAAUUGGCCCCCGAACCCCUCAGCACAGCCGCGGUGUGACUGGUGCACAGGACACUUCCCCUCUAGAGUCCCCUCCGUGGUCAGCUGUUGUGACAUUUGAAUUCUCCAGCUGUGCAAGUUCAUUCGCAAACGUCCUAGAAGUGGAACUGCUGGGUCAAAGUGCAUUCCCCAAAUGUCCUGCCAGAGGCCUGGUCGGCAGCAGCCUCCUGCACAGCCCGAGUCCCUUCUGCGAGAGUCCUGGCUUGUUUGCAGCCUGCAGCUGGGAGAUUUGAAGUCAGACUUCCAGGAUUGCCGCAUGGAGCUGCAGAGGGAGUGAGCAUGGGGCUGGAGGACCUGCCCCGCCGGCUGACACUCCCACAGCAAGGCGGGCCCGCCAAGGAAGCACUCCACAUCCGCUAGGCCUAGUUCCAGAGCUGUCAUUCUUCGGCGAGCCGCGCUGCACGCCAGCCUCCAGUCUGGCAGUUAAACCUCACUAUGAAAAUCUGCUUUUGGGAUUUUAUUUGCAUUUCCAUUAGACUGAGCGCAUCACAAGCCACUUCAGGAUAGACUGAGGUGCAGAGGGAGGGGACAAGCGGCCAGGUUGACUAGAAGAGCACAGAACCUGGCUGUCUCGAAGAGGGCAGCUUGUUCCAGGGAACCAAUGAACUGUCAGUAAAGGGGAUUGUGGCUUCCUAGUGAGGCAAGAAAUGAUGCUCCCUUCAUCCUGCCAGGGCUCAGGACAAGAGCUACUUAAUGGUUUGAUUAUUAUUAUUUUUUAAGAGAUGUUGUCCAGGCUGGAGUGCAGUGAUGCAAUCAUGGCUUACUGCAGCCUCAAACUCCUGGCCUCAGGCCAUCCUCCUGCCUCAGCCUCCCAAAGUGCUGUGAUCACAGGCACGAGCCACUGCAUCCUGCCUUUAAAUGGUUUUUUGGGGCCCCUUUUGGAUGCUCUGGGUGUUUUUGCCAAGAGUUACAGGAUGUCAAGUGUGGGGAGCUCAGCACCCUUGCUGUGGACCAGUGAAGGCUGUUCCAGACCAGGUGCUUCCAGACAUUUCCAGGCUCCAGGAGAGAG